Molecule: long non-coding RNA, 1394 nt
Filed under: Homo sapiens (human)
Lineage: Eukaryota; Metazoa; Chordata; Mammalia; Primates; Hominidae
Description: HSALNT0119643
Source: RNAcentral
CUGAAACAUUAUGAAUAGAGAAGGUAAAUUCAAAUCCUGAAGGAAAAUUUAUUUCUGUUAAGAUAAGUUGCUGUUUUUUUAAAUAAUAAAAGGGAGCUCAUGUAAUCAAACCUGCCCCUGGUGACUAAUUUGUUCUCCGACAUGCAAUACAUUACCAGAGCCUCAGAGUUGAUUAUUCAGGAUAAAGUUUACAUGCCUAAGAGUGACAGUAGCCAGCUUGAUCUUGGUGAGGCAAAAUGAAUGAUUUUAAGCCCAUGCAUGACCUCUAUUGUGGCAAUCUGGUCACUUUGUUCAUGAAUUUCAUUUUAUAAGAAGACGUUGGCUGGGAAAAGAACUUGACAUCUACAAGGUGAGAACACAAGUGAGAAGGCAGCUGUCUACAUGCCAGGAAGAGAGCCCUCACCAGAAACUAACCAUGCUGGCACCUUCAUCUUGAACUUCACAGCCUGUAGAACUUCAAGAAAUAAAUUUAUAUUGUUAAGCCACUUUGUUAUGACAUCCUGAGCUGACUAAAACGCAAUACUCUGAAAGCCUUCACUUCGUCUCUCAUGACAUCUUUCAAAAGACCUCAACCAAAGCAACCUUUUCAGUGGGAAGCCUGAGGGAAUGAGUGCUAUCCUAAAUUACUCAUCUGGAUACAGUACCCAUCCCCUGGCUCUCAGAGAACCCUGAGUUAUUACCAUUCUCUCUCUCAUAACAUUAUCACUUGCCAGGAUUUGAAUAUGUCCCCUCCAACAUUCAGAUGUUCAGAAUUAAAGGACAAUGUAAUAGGAUAAACAGGUGGGAACUUUAACAGGAGAUUAGGCCACAAGGACUCCUCCCUCCUGAAUGGGAUUAAGGCCCUUAUAAAAGAAGCUUUGCAAAGCAUUUGGUUAGCUUGUCCUUCUGCCAACUGCCAUGUGAUGAUAUAGCUUUGCUCCCCUCUGGAGGUUGCAUCACCGAAGUACCAUCCUGGAAGCAGAGAGACUGGGCCCUCCGUCACCAGCCAGUACUUUGAUCUUGGACUUACCAGCCUCCAGAACUGCGAGAAAAUACAUUUCUUUUCUUUAUAAAUUACCCAGGCUGUGGUAUUUUGUUAUAGCAGCACUAAUGAAUGAAGACAUCACUUCAUGUUUAAUAUUUGGACUCCCCAUUGGACAUAGGCACCAUGAAGCCAAAGAAGCCUACUCUGCAUAGCCCCAGGAUCUGUCAUUUGGUCUGCUAUGGUGAUGUCUCUGUGAAUAUUUUGUUGAAUUGAUUUGACUGUUUGAAAGAGCAGGCUAUUUUCACUCAUUCUUUCUCCUUCCUAGCCAUGUAAAAUCUGUAUUGAAAUUUUUGAGAAAUAUAUUGAAGAAAGGAUAAAUAACAACUUUCUUAUUUUUAUUUAUUAUGUUUAAAGAAAAAGAACAACUUUA